GGAGGAGGGAGGCCGGCUCGCGGAGCCGGAGAGCGCGGCCGGCUCGGCAGCCUGGGACCCGAGCUCGCGGCUUCCGGGAGGCGCCCGAGGCCGGAUAAAUACAUCCCGGGCUCCCGGGGAGAAGCGGACGCUGCCCGCACCGCCGCCCGCGCCGCCCGCACAGCUGUCCGCAGGGCACCGAGCCGCCCGGCUUAGGCGCGACGCCCGCUCCUCCUCCUCCUGCGGCCGGCGCGGAGCAGCGGAGAGCGGCGGCCUCGGCCGCCGGCGCCCGGGCCGCGGAGCCGAUGAGCGGCGGCGGCUGAGGGCCCGGGCCGGCCUCUGCCCGCCCUCUGCCCGGCGCCCGAGCGGGGCCGCAGCGCUCGGGGCGCAGGGUCGGGGCCGGUGACAUGGGGGCGGACUGAAGCAGUCGGGGCGGCCGAGCGCUCUCUCUCGAGCCGCGGGCCCUCCUCCGCGGCGGCGGCGGCGGCUGCGGGCGCCCGGCCCGGCGCGCUCUGCCCGGGGCGCCCGCGGGAGCCUCCGCCGCGCUUCUAUGCGCCUCUGCGGGCGCCGUGGGCCCCGGCCAUGGCGAUAGACCGGCGGCGCGAGGCGGCGGGCGGCGGGCCCGGGCGGCAGCCGCCCCCGGCCGAGGAGAACGGCUCCCUGCCGCCCGGGGACGCGGCGGCCUCGGCGCCCCUCGGGGGACGCGCGGGCCCCGGCGGCGGUGGCGGGGAGAUCCAGCCGCUGCCCGCGCCGCAUCCCGCCGCCGGCGGCCCGCACUCGGGCUGCAGCUCGGCGGCGGCGGCGGCGGGGGCCCCGAGCCUCCUGUUGCUGGACUACGACGGGUCGGUGCUGCCCUUCCUCGGGGGCCUGGGCGGGGGCUACCAGAAGACCCUCGUGCUGCUCACCUGGAUCCCGGCGCUGUUCAUCGGCUUCAGCCAGUUCUCGGACUCUUUCCUCUUGGACCAGCCGAACUUCUGGUGCCGCGGGGCCGGCAAAGGCGCGGAGCUGGCGGGGGUCACCGCCACCGGCCUGUGGGACGCCGGCGACGUGGCCAACUGGACCAGCCCCCCGACCACCCCCUUCUCCACUGCCUCCUGGGGGGCCGCGGGCAACCUUAGCAACGGCAGCGGCGCGGACGGGGGUGACACGCCACCCCUGCCGUCCCCUCCGGACAAGGGGGACAACGCCUCCAACUGCGACUGCCACGCGUGGGACUACGGCAUCCGCACAGGCCUCGUCCAAAACGUGGUCAGCAAGCUGUGUGGUGGUCAGAGUGCACCCUGCCCCUCUCCACCCCGGAGCUGUGUCUGACGCAUCUUCUACCCACGAAGUCUUCCCUGAGACUCCCUGAGCUCACCUGAAUCUGCAACCAUGAAAGAAGAAGAAGGGCUUUUCCGUCUGGCAGGAGUGGGUUCAGGUCCUGAUGGCUGCUGAGGACCAGCAGAUAUUAGCAACAGCCAUGACAGUCACAGGUCACUGGUCACAGGACUCCAAAGGAUCUGAAAAGGAAAAGGCUUUUCUGGCCGACCUCGAGGAACCGGAGAGCAGGGUUCUGCCAGGGGCUUCACACCCCCACAGAGGUUUUGGCUCAGGAACUUGAGGUCAUGCCGUUGGAUGGAGAACCAUCUACACGUGUUAAAAAGUCUGGGCUGGCUGUGCUGGUGGAUCAGAGAAACUGUGGAAUUUUAGAGGGGUUGGUGGUAGGUUUGGACCUCGGUGGCAGGCGUCAGAGAGCUCACCUCAGGGGCAGGUGGAAACCGUGCAGAGGGCCAGGCGCCCCCCGAGGGCUGCCCCACCCACCCCGAACGCUGUCCUUGCUGACUUGUCAUGAGAGGGCAGUGACUGACCUCUAGCCUUCAGACCUUGAUCAUCUGUGACUGGGGGCUUGUCCUUUCAUUUGCUCAAGGCUGCUCAGUGCUGAUCAUUAUGUGUAGGCAGAUGUUCCUCCAAACAAGUGACCUAGAGAUUGGCAAGGCCUCUAUUUCUGGGAAAGAGGGGCAAUGGUUAUUGACCGAUUGAGCUGGGUUCCCCUAAAAUAAAUCACUGCUGAAAUAGAAUACUGCCUGAGGCCACUCCAUUUACACAGGAUUAGAUUCUAUAAAACCUCUCGUAUGACUCUUGGUUGCAAGUGAGGAAAACAAAUUUCACAUUACAUUAACAAAAUAGAAAAGAAAUGUAUAGGAAAGAUGCAGGAAUGGCUCAGGGAACCUAGGGUGGGAUCUGAAACCAGAAAAUUGUGGGGGAGGGGUUGAAUCAGGAGCCCUGGUGCCACCGCCCUCUGUCAGGAGUCACGUGUGCUCUCAGCCCUUUCUCCAGAAGUCAGCUUUGUUCCCUCUACAGGCUGACUUUGCCCAUGCUUUUGCUUACCUGGUCAGGCACUGGUCAGCACAGAGGCGCUGCAUUCCUCUGUCCAUUCCAGAUUCCUGGGUGCAAAUCUGAUGUCCAGGCAGGUUUCAGAGUAGAGGAUGUGGUUACCCAGCCCUGGGGGUCUCCUGCAGACCAUGUGGCAGGGGGUGGUAGUAGCUAUUCUUCAUUGGGAUGGAAGGGAUUAGAGAUGAAUCUUUUUGGCAGUUAAUCGAGAAUAAUUGAACAUUGAUGAUUGAACCAUUACAUACUUAAAAGUAUUCUUUUUCUUCCCAAAGACUCAGGAUAUAACUUACCUGGCAGCUUAAGCUUAGUAUGGAAUUGGCUGGGAUACUCCUCCUGAGGCUUCUUUUCUAGAAACAGUGAUACAUGGUCUCAGUUAUUAGCUCCAGAUCACAGAGAGAGCUUGGAACAAGCCCUUGGGCAGUCACUGAAACAGUUUUACAAAUCGUUCCCCCCACCCCUGACCCCACACAGGGUGUCUGUUUUUCCAAACCUUUCUGCUGGUCUCAGGACCAGCUACAUCAUUUGUGGGGCCCGGUGCAAAAUGAAAAUGCACAACCCCUCAUCCAAAAAUUACUAAGAUCAAGAGAGUGACAGCCUAGCUUUAAGCCAGAUGUGGGCCCUUCUGAGCGGUGGUGCUUCUCGUGGGGGCUCCAGCCCAUUGUCUCUCACAAAGCCAGCUGUCACGGCUGCAGAGCUAAGCAAGGAUCCCCGAGCCCUUCAAGUCUUUCUUCCUGAUUUUUCAGUGUCUUUCCUGCUUCUCUGUGCCUUGGUUGUGUUUUAUAUCUUUUUCUAGAUGUCUUGUAGUCAGAGUGCAACAUACUUUUUGUGCGUCUGUUUUUCCCAGGGAACAGCUUCACAAAGCCCUAGCCAGUUUUGUGUUGAAUGUUUAGUUCACUCAAGGUAUGCAGCAAGAAGGAGCCACGGAGGGAGCCUUCUUACAUUUGAAAACACUGCCCCAGAAGUGAGACAGUUGGUUUACUUAUCUGAGCAGUGAACCAAACAGCUGAGUCAUAGGAAUGUGUGGUAAAGAAUGUUAAGUCAUAGGAAUGCUACUUAAGUGUUUGUCUGCCUUUUAUUUAUUUAUAUUUUUAAAUGGAGAGGAUGGUCAGUCCUUUGUCUAAUUUAAUUCUGCCAAAAGCGAACAGUCACACUUUAUUUCUUGGUAUCAUUUAAAGAAGUGCAAAGGAGAUGAUGCUUGAAUCAAGCAGCUCAGACGUCCCAGUGGUCAUAUUAAAUUAUGGCUGGGUUAUGCACUCAGCAUAGUAAUUUGCACUACAGAGUGUUUCCUCCCAGAUUAGAUUAAAAGCUGCUUUUUCUCUGUGUGUUUAAAAGAUGCUUUACAAAUUGGGCACCCUUGAUUGUUACAUACUGAGGAACUCCACUGUUCUCCAAUGAAUAUACAUGAGCGUUUGCAGUGGACACAAAGUUUUUGUCCUACUUUUUAAAAAGUUUUUUUUUUUUUAAUUGUAAAAUCCACAUAACAUAAAAUGUACCAUUUUAACCAUGUUUACGUGUACAACUGAGUGGGAUGAAAUACAGUCACAGUGUGCUGUGCCGUCAUCGCCACCAUCCAUCUCCGGGACUUUGUCGUCUUUCCAAACUGACACUCUGUCCCCAUUCACCGCUAAGUGCCCAGCCCCCUCCGCCUCCCCCUGCCCCUGCCCCUGGCAACCACCACUGCACUUUCUCUCUCUGAAUCUGACUACUCCAGGGACCUCACCUCAGCGGAGCCAUUCUAGUCCUUGCUCUUUUGUGACUGGCUUUAUUUUACUUGGUGGAAUGUUCUCAGGGUUCAUCCACAUUGUAGCAUGUGUCAGGAUUUCCUUCCUUUUUUUUUAAGGCCGAACCAUAUUCUGUGCUAGGUAUAGACCACAUUUUGUUUAUCCAUUCAUCCACUGAUGGACCAUUGGGUUGCUUCCACCUUUUGGCUGUUGGAAAUAAUGCUGCUGUGGACAUAGGUGUCGUUCUGCUUUUUGAAGACUGCUUCGUACAACCCCUUCAUCCCUCCCCUCCCCCGUUAGAGGUGAUUUCUGCAGUCACUUGUGUGGUGCCUGGCUCUGGUCCUUCUGUCAGAACAUCUGUUCUGUAGGCAGGCCUUCUGCUCCGCCUUGGGUGGGUGACACAGAUGGGUAGAAGAUGGUCUCUGCCUUGAAGAAGGAGCUCGUGGUGUAGCCAAGACAGCUGGUAAAUGGAGGAUUCUAGGCCCAGUGUGGGACCAGCUGAGUCGAGCGUGUGAGGGCCGGGAGCUGAGGGUGAGGGGUGCAGAAGAGCUCAGGCCCAAGAAAGCCCGCGAGGUAUGUGCUCGGCCCUGGGAGUUCCCACCAUGGCAGGGGGAGCCGGGUGCUGCAGCCUUUGAGCUGGGCCCUGAAGGAGGGCUGGGGUCUUGAAAGAUAGAAAGGGCCUCAUCUGCGGAGGAGCUAACACAGGCUGGGAAGGGACUAGUGCAGGGCGCGGAGGGGGACACCUGCAGCAGAACUUGGGGCCCGACUGCCCAGGCCCCCACAGUCCGUCCUUGGGGAUCGGUUGGGUUUUCCCCCAGUAGACAAUGAGUUAUCUGAGAUUUGUAAUGGAGAAACGAGAGUAGAGACCCAGGGCAGAAGAACCCCCGGGCCCAGGCUGGGUCCAUGUGGCACUGUGUCCUCAGGACCCAUACAGCAGGCCUCUUGGCUUCUGUCCGGCCGCCGUAUGCUGCCCCUGGAGCACGCAUGUUGGUGUGGGCCUCCGUGAGAGCCCUCGCAAAGCCCCCGUCACAAGCCUGGCCACAUCCCAGGGGCUACGGCCCUCGCACUGUCUGUGUGUCCGUGCUCUUGGGAGGCGCCAGCUUCGCCCAGCGUCCCUGCCUUGCCUGCUGGGCCUCGUGGUCUCUGCGCCCCAGAUGGUGUCAAGCCUGCCUGAUGCCAGGUCCCUGGAACUGCUUUGGCGGUCUCGGUCAACCUCUGCAGGGCGUUGCCGAUGACUGCUCAGUCCUUGACACUCUCUCCUUGGGAUUGGCGGGGGGAGGCUGCUUUUCCGGAUUUUUCUUGUGCUCUGCUGGUUGCUCUUCUCCUUCGAGAAUCCUUUCCACCACCUGCUCCCUUCAGAUGGUUCCCCAGAGUCUCAGUCAGCUCAGGCUGCAUAACAAGUACCACAGAUGGGCUGGGGGUGAGGGGGGGCUAACAGACAUUUAGCUCCUCUCGGGUCUAAAUGCUGGAAGUCUGAGAUCAAGUGUCGGCAGGGCUGUUCCUUCUGAGGCCUCUCUCCCUGGCUUGCGCAUGCCGCCUUCUCCCUGGGUCCUCACACGGGCUUCCCUCUGUGUGCGUCUGUGGUCUAGUCUCUUUUUACAAGGACACCAGUCCUGUUGGAUUAUGGCCCAUCCCAAUGACCUCAUUUUAAGUUAAUUACCUCUGUAAAGGCCCUGUCUCCAAAUACAGUCACGUUCUGAGGUACAAAGGGUCAGGACUCAACAUUUGAGGCUUUGGGGUUUUGGGGGGGUUUUUUGGGGGAGGGGACAUAGUUCAGCCCCUAAUAUCUGAGUUCCAGCACACACCCUAAGUAGGGCAGUGGCAGAUCUUUCUCUGUAACCCGGAUGUCUCCUCAGAGCCCUAGCUCUGUGUGUUUGGUUACCUGCUAGACCAGACCUCUCAUCUGGCCCCUGGCCCCUGAUCUUAUCUACCCCCCUUGCCUCAAAUCCCAGUGAUUUUGAUUCUAAAUUGACGAUGAAAAGCUUUUUUUUUUUUACUUCCUUGCUUCAGAUCCAUGACCUUCAGGAUGAAGUUAGGCCUGGUUGGCUGGUUUUCAAGGUCCCUGAUGGUCUGUCUGCACCCUGCAUGCUUCUCUUGCAUGGGCCCCCAUCACGGUCGUGCAGGGACCCUGUGCUCUAGCCCCCAGUUUCUCAAACAACACUUGAUCUUUGCAAGUGGUGCUCCUUCAGUCCAGAAUCCACCUGCCAUCCCCCAUCAUCCCAUCACCUUCUUAAGGCCUUUCCUGGCUCCCUAUUUCCGCCCCCUACCCACCAAUCCUCCACCCCUGCUUUCCUGGCCCAGAUCUGUAUCCUCAGCACCUGGCUCUAGUAGGUGCUCAAUUAACAUUUCUCAAAUGGCAAAGGUAAACAGAUAGUAAAGGGGCCAUUACUCUCAUCUGGGCAAGGUAAGGUGAUUUAAUUCUAGGAUGAGAAGAAGAGGAAGAGGACAGUGGUACAUAGGUCAACUCAGACCAAAAGUCAAAUUCCAGUGAGUUUAUUGAAAGCUAAGAAAUAGCAGCUAAUCAAACUUGAAUUCCUACCGGGCUCUGGAACGGGUUAUAUGUUGGCUUUAGUCACCGUUUUUCAGAACUUUAAGUCCCAGGGCUUUUUCUUCUCAUGAAAGUGACAUACUGAACGGGUCUGAAUCUAGGAUGGCAGUGUUGGUGGCUAGAGCUCUCAGAGUCACCUGGGAGCUUUUGGAACUUGGGAUCCAGGCAUCAGUUGUUUAAAAAAGUUCACUAGAUGAUUUCCAGGGGGAUACCCCCCAGGGGACAUUGGCCAAUGUCUGGAAAUAGCCGAGAAAGGGGAUGCUACUGGCGUCCCCUGGGUAGAGACCAGGGAUGCUGCUGAAUAUCCCACAAUGCACGGGACAGCCCCCGCAGCAAAGAAUGAUCCAGUUGAGCAUGCCAAGUCUGAGAAAUCCUGGUGGAGGCUAAUACAAAAGUUCAUUGUAUUUUCUGACCAUACCCGACAGAUGGCCGGGUCAGCCGGGGUGAGACCUUGGCUCCUUUGUAACCCACAAGGGGAGCAUUGGUAUGCGGGCUCAGGAGCUAUAGAAGGGCGAUUCAUCACACCAGAAUUAUCGCAGUGCGGCCACGGCCCGUUUGCCCUCUGUGAAGAAAGGGUUUGCUAAGUGCAUAAAUGGUGUAAACUGAGGGUCAGCAGGCACGUUUAGCUUACCUAGGGAAGCACAUUAUGAAACACUGCCUUAGCAUAUUUAUGUACAAAUGAAUGUUGCUAAUGACCAAGUCACUCAUUAAAGUAGGUCCUUUGAACCUCUGCUUGGAAUAAUGGUUAAUUACUUGAAAAGGAAACAUUUAUUUGGAAGUAAAGGUAUUUAUUUUCAAAAUGCCUCUAAUUCAGACUAGUCU
Mirounga angustirostris (Northern elephant seal) is the source of this 7440-nucleotide RNA transcript. It is a transcript of the gene named solute carrier family 22 member 23, with no coding region annotated. The record is from RefSeq and is a predicted model, not a curated record. Lineage: Eukaryota; Metazoa; Chordata; Mammalia; Carnivora; Phocidae. The transcript is spliced from 3 exons.